RNAcentral lists this ribosomal RNA (497 nucleotides) under uncultured bacterium. RNAcentral describes it as "partial 16S ribosomal RNA". It matches the Rfam family "Bacterial small subunit ribosomal RNA", at positions 28 to 507 of the family's 1533-position model. The record is from RNAcentral.
GAUGAACGCUGGCGGCGUGCCUAAUACAUGCAAGUCGAGCGAACGGGCGAGAAGCCUGCUUUUCUGAUGUUAGCGGCGGACGGGUGAGUAACACGUGGAUAACCUACCUAUAAGACUGGGAUAACUUCGGGAAACCGGAGCUAAUACCGGAUAAUAUUUUGAACCGCAUGGUUCAAAAGUGAAAGACGGUCUUGCUGUCACUUAUAGAUGGAUCCGCGCUGCAUUAGCUAGUUGGUAAGGUAACGGCUUACCAAGGCAACGAUGCAUAGCCGACCUGAGAGGGUGAUCGGCCACACUGGAACUGAGACACGGUCCAGACUCCUACGGGAGGCAGCAGUAGGGAAUCUUCCGCAAUGGGCGAAGGCCUGACGGAGCAACGCCGCGUGAGUGAUGAAGGUCUUCGGAUCGUAAAACUCUGUUAUUAGGGAAGAACAUAUGUGUAAGUAACUGUGCACAUCUUGACGGUACCUAAUCAGAAAGCCACGGCUAACUACGUG